GAAAAAGGGACACUUCUACGACAGCCGUAGGAGAGAGAAACACAAACCCUAGUGAAUUGCUGUGAAACCGUAGAGCAAGAAGAGCGCACCAACGAAGAGAGGAAGAUCUUCUUAGACUGGGAAGGAUUUAGAAGCCAUUAACAAACCUCUAGAGUCCAGAUUUAUAUUUGUGAUGUUCGGUGAAGUUUUUGGAAGAGUGGUGGAAGUAGCACUGGUAUUUGUCUCUUGAAGCUUUAUGAGAAUAGAGUGGUGGAAGGUGUAUACUUGUCCAGUGAAGUCCAAUAGGGUGGUGGAAAUCAUAUACUUGCCUGUGGAAGCUUUAAGAGAGUGGUGGGAA
Molecule: small RNA, 337 nt
Filed under: Vigna angularis var. angularis
Lineage: Eukaryota; Viridiplantae; Streptophyta; Magnoliopsida; Fabales; Fabaceae
Description: Non-protein coding transcript
Source: RNAcentral